RNAcentral lists this ribosomal RNA (253 nucleotides) under uncultured bacterium. RNAcentral's name for it is "partial 16S ribosomal RNA". It matches the Rfam family "Bacterial small subunit ribosomal RNA", at positions 524 to 776 of the family's 1533-position model. The record is from RNAcentral.
UACGUAGGGUGCAGGCGUUAAUCGGAAUUACUGGGCGUAAAGCGUGCGCAGGCGGUUUUGUAAGUCUGUCGUGAAAGCCCCGGGCUUAACCUGGGAAUUGCGAUGGAGACUGCAAGGCUUGAAUCUGGCAGAGGGGGGUAGAAUUCCACGUGUAGCAGUGAAAUGCGUAGAGAUGUGGAGGAACACCGAUGGCGAGGGCAGCCCCCUGGGUCAAGAUUGACGCUCAUGCACGAAAGCGUGGGGAGCAAACAGG